This 279-nucleotide ribosomal RNA is filed under the name unidentified marine bacterioplankton. RNAcentral describes it as "partial 16S ribosomal RNA". It matches the Rfam family "Bacterial small subunit ribosomal RNA", at positions 32 to 339 of the family's 1533-position model. The record is from RNAcentral.
AACGCUGGCGGCAGGCCUAAUACAUGCAAGUCGAGCGCGCCCUUCGGGGUGAGCGGCGGACGGGUGAGUAACGCGUGGGAAUAUGCCCUUCUCUAAGGAAUAGCCUCGGGAAACUGAGAGUAAUACCUUAUACGCCCUACGGGGGAAAGAUUUAUCGGAGAAGGAUUAGCCCGCGUUAGAUUAGGUAGUUGGUGGGGUAAUGGCCUACCAAGCCUACGAUCUAUAGCUGGUUUGAGAGGAUGAUCAGCCACACUGGGACUGAGACACGGCCCAGACUCC